CCAAUAUUGAGGCGCUAGUAAUGCCCAAGCAUGCUCUCUGCCUUCACAUCCUCUGCUUAGAACACUCUCUCCCUGUCCAGUCCUUGAGAGCAAGCCUAGUGUCUUACUCAUUAUUUUACACUUGGCAACUAGUACAGGUAACUGGCCUAUGAUUCCCACUAGAGUCUUCUGGGGGAGAAUCAUCAUAAUUACCUCCCUUUCACAGAUGAAGAAAUUGAGGUUCAGAAAAGUGAAGCAACUGGAACUGAACCUAAAUUGAUUAUCCCAAGGUCACAAAGUUGGACACCAAUCUUUAAUACCCCAAAGUUAUUUUGUUUUCUCUACACCAGGCCACACUACCUCCUUUUUUGCCCGAGCAAGAUCUGCCAAGCUCCCCCUUUUUCCAGGAGCCAAGCCAGCUACCAUUUAACCGCCACAUUUACACCGGAUAAGCUCCCAGAACUAAGAUGGAUACUUUGGAAUGAUUAUGUGGCUUUAAUGAUUCAGGGCUGUCUACAGAGGACCCCCUGGACCCUCACAAGACCAUUCCACACUUGGACAACUGCGUCCCAGGGGCCUUGCAAGAGAACCAGAGGAAUCCUGAGGCCUUUCAGCCAAGGGUGAGAUCACUUCUAGCCUCAGGAGGCUGCAUUGGUGGAGGAACUCUCUCGUAAUUGACUCUUGCUUCUCUCUCUAAACCAGAAUGCUCCCGGAGAGCUGUUUAUCUUGGACAUGGGCAGAUGGCCAGGUACCACCAGGCAACGGCUGGCUCCACUAAAAAUUCAUGGGUCAUAGACGCUUGCUCCAGAAUGGCAACAACCUUGGAAUUUGUGACUUCCUCUCUCCCUUGUAGCAGCUAGCACAAUUAGAAAAAGCAGUACACCUACAAUCACAGUAGCUAACAUUGAUCGAGUGCCUAUUCUAUGAUCUCAUCUUCAUGGAAACUCUAAUUAUCAUGAAUCCCAUUUUAUCGAUGAGGAAGCUAAGUCUUAGAGAUGUUAAAUGUCUUACUCAGGGGCACUCAUCACUAGGAAGCAGAAGAGCCGGGAAUCUAGGACUGCAGCUGAGGCAAAGUCUGUAGAAGGGGAAAAAAAUCAUUGUAUGGUAGUAUUAAUAGGACUAUUGACAUGAUUUUAUCUGGAACAUUCAGAUUUUUAUCAAACAAUUUUUAAAUAACAUUUAAUUAGAGGCUGGGUAUAGAAUGUGAUUAAAAAAAAAAAAACACCCGAGGUUGGGGGUUCAUUUCCAUCAUUGAAUCCAAGGCAGUAUGGAAGCUGGAAUACUCAUGCUCAGGAAUCUGUUGUUUUUCUCCAAUUUAGCUUCCGAGAAAUUUGCAGACCUGUAAGAGAUGAAAGCGAGGGACCUUUCAAAAGAUGGUUACUUCCUUUUCAACUCCAUCUUUCACAUAGCUUAAUCCUUUCUGGGAUAAAUUGGGUUUACUAUGGAAAUGUCUUCUUCUAAGAUGCAGUUUCAAAACAGAUAUUUUUGUUCCCUUGUUUAAAAAUGCAUCGUCAACAAAUUGCUUGUGUUUAUUCAACUUGUCCAAAUAAAAGCCAUAUAAGGCUCA
RNAcentral lists this long non-coding RNA (1546 nucleotides) under Vulpes vulpes (red fox). RNAcentral's name for it is "lncRNA (ENSVVUG00000013737.1)". Lineage: Eukaryota; Metazoa; Chordata; Mammalia; Carnivora; Canidae. The record is from RNAcentral.